AAUAUUCGACAAUGGGUGAAAGCCUGAUCCAGCCAUGUCGCGUGUGUGAAGAAGGUCUUCGGAUUGUAAAGCACUUUAAGUUGGGAGGAAGGGCAGUAAGUUAAUACCUUGCUGUCUUGACGUUAUCGACAGAAUAAUCACCGGCUACUUUCGUGCCAGCAGCCGCGGUAAUACGAAGGGUGCAAGCGUUAAUCGGAAUUACUUGGCGUAAAGCGCGCGUAGGUGGUUCGUUAAGUUGGAAGUGAAAGCCCCGGGCUUAACCUGGGAAUUGUUUUCAAAACUGACGAGCUAGAGUACGGUAGAGGGUAGUGGAGUUUCCUGUGUAGCGGUGAAAUGCGUAGAUAUAGGAAGGAACAUCAGUGGCGAAGGCGACUACCUGGACUGAUACUGACACUGAGGUGCGAAAGCGUGGGGAGCAAACAGG
This 424-nucleotide ribosomal RNA is filed under the name uncultured bacterium. Its description in RNAcentral is "partial 16S ribosomal RNA". It matches the Rfam family "Bacterial small subunit ribosomal RNA", at positions 360 to 776 of the family's 1533-position model. The record is from RNAcentral.